Molecule: RNA transcript, 1244 nt
Organism: Gossypium arboreum
Lineage: Eukaryota; Viridiplantae; Streptophyta; Magnoliopsida; Malvales; Malvaceae
Gene name: 50S ribosomal protein L14, chloroplastic-like
Exons: 1
Source: RefSeq, a predicted model, not a curated record
AAAAGAGAUUUCAAAAUGAUUCAACCUCAGACCCAUUUGAAUGUAGCAGAUAACAGCGGGGCCGAGAAUUGAUGUGUAUUCGAGUCAUAGGAGCUAGUAAUCGCCGAUAUGCUCAUAUUGGUGACGUUAUUGUUGCUGUGAUCAAGGAAGCAGUACCAAAUACACCUCUAGAAAGAUCAGAAGUGAUCAGAGCUGUAAUUGUACGUACUCGUAAAGAACUCAAACGCGACAACGGGAUGAUAAUACGAUAUGAUGACAAUGCUGCCGUUGUCAUUGAUCAAGAAGGAAAUCAAAAGGAACUCGAAUUUUUGGUGCGAUCGCUUGGGAAUUGAGACAGUUAAAUUUCACUAAAAUAGUUUCAUUAGCUCCCGAGGUAUUAUAAGACGAGACCCAAGUAUAGUUAGAGUAUUUAGAGUAUUUAAAUGGCAUAGAUUAAUUAGUAGAUUGUGUCUCACGUAUAUACCUUUACUAAGUAAAAAAAAAAGACCACGUUGGUUAUAUCAAAAUUCGGGAGCAACAAAAAUUUUAGUUUACCAUGGGUAAGGACACUAUUGCUGACAUAAUAACCUCUAUACGAAAUGCUGAUAUGAAUAGAAAAGGAACGAUUCAAAUAGGAUCUACUAACAUCACUGAAAACAUUGUUAAAAUACUUUUACGAGAAGGUUUUAUCGAUAACGUAAGGAAACAUCGGGAACGCAACAAAUAUUUUUUGGUUUUAACCCUACGACAUAGACGGAAUAGAAAAGGACCACAUAGAACUAUUUUAAAUUUACGACGGAUCAGUCGACCAGGUCUACGAAUCUAUUCUAACUAUCAACAAAUUCCUAGGAUUUUAGGCGGGAUGGGGAUUGUAAUUCUUUCUACUUCUCGGGGUAUAAUGACAGACCGGGAGGCUCGACUAGAAGGAAUCGGUGGAGAAAUUUUGUGUUCUAUAUGGUAAUCUGUCCGGUAUACGAAUUGUAUCCGAAACUCUCCAUUUGUGCAAAAAAAAAAGAAAAAAGCACGGGUUGUCUAAUAGAACUCCUCCUGCCCUACGGUAGUUGAUACGUCAAGGAAGUUUUACCUGGAAUAAAAGAACAAAAAAAUGGAUUCAUGAAGGUUUAAUUUAAUUAGUAAAUCACUCCCACUCUGGAUUCCUUUAGAUAAUGAAGAUCUGAUUUUAGGUUAUGUUUCGGGAGAGUUUUACCAACGUGGGAUAGAGUCAACAAAAGUGAAGUAAGUGCUUAUGAUUCAACCAGGGGGGC